GACGAGUGCUGGCGGCGUGCCUAAUACAUGCAAGUCGAGCGAAUCUCAGGGAGCUUGCUCCCAAAGGUUAGCGGCGGACGGGUGAGUAACACGUGGGCAACCUGCCUAUAAGACUGGGAUAACUUCGGGAAACCGGAGCUAAUACCGGAUAAUACUUUUCUACUCAUGUAGGGAAGCUGAAAGACGGUUUCGGCUGUCACUUAUAGAUGGGCCCGCGGCGCAUUAGCUAGUUGGUGAGGUAACGGCUCACCAAGGCGACGAUGCGUAGCCGACCUGAGAGGGUGAUCGGCCACACUGGGACUGAGACACGGCCCAGACUCCUACGGGAGGCAGCAGUAGGGAAUCUUCCGCAAUGGACGAAAGUCUGACGGAGCAACGCCGCGUGAGUGAUGAAGGUUUUCGGAUCGUAAAACUCUGUUGUUAGGGAAGAACAAGUACCAGAGUAACUGCUGGUACCUUGACGGUACCUAACCAGAAAGCCACGGCUAACUACGUGCCAGCAGCCGCGGUAA
RNAcentral lists this ribosomal RNA (512 nucleotides) under uncultured bacterium. Its description in RNAcentral is "partial 16S ribosomal RNA". It matches the Rfam family "Bacterial small subunit ribosomal RNA", at positions 28 to 523 of the family's 1533-position model. The record is from RNAcentral.